Salvelinus namaycush (lake trout) is the source of this 1247-nucleotide long non-coding RNA. RefSeq lists it as uncharacterized. The transcript is spliced from 6 exons. The record is from RefSeq and is a predicted model, not a curated record. NCBI's taxonomy places the organism in Eukaryota, Metazoa, Chordata, Actinopteri, Salmoniformes, Salmonidae.
UGGUACUCAAUUUAGCUUUGUUUAGAUUUUCUUCCGGGUGGUGGAAAUCUAGCCGCCAAAUUGAAAUUAUCCAAGGCGCAUUAAUGUGUUAGCGUUAGAUAUCGCUAAUGCACUUAAUUUGUGUUUUUUAUAUUGCCAUUCGCUUACGCAUAUCCAACAAUGGCUGAAUAAAAAAUAAAAAACUAACGUUACCAUAGCUAGCUAACGUCUUAUCUCACACGGCGGACACAAUGGACGAGCCGUGAAAAGAUGUUUUGGGGUACUUGAACAUAUUGGAAAUGGAAGCUAACAACUUGGCAGUGAAGCAGCAGGAAUUCCGGCAGAUUAGUCGCGAGGAAGAGCUGAAUGCAACACUACAGGAACUCCUCACUAAAAGACCAGUUAAAAGUUUAAAUAAAAGCAAAUACACUAAUCCCUCCAGAAGCUGAGAACUCUACUGGACAAAACAGGUGUUCCAUGUGAGAGGGAUGAGGAUGACCUGGAGGAUGGCUCAGAGAACUCACGACUUCUGCUGUUGAUGGCCAGACACACAACUGCAGGACCUGCUUCAUGGUCACCACCUUAUCGGUGGGUAUGAUAUAGGCGUCUACCUUGAGACAUAUAACCUGGAGAUGAACCUGUUGUCUAAUCUGAGAAUUUGUCGCCACAACAUCCCUCCAUUCAUCCCCAUGGAGAGGCUGGUCAAGCAGAGCAACAUGCAGACAGACGUCAGGGCUUUCCUGUAUACCCUCAGCCAAUAUCUCAAUGCCUACGUUGGCCGCAAGCAGCAGCUGCACCUCAUCAAGGAGCUUCAUAGCUCUGUUCAGGUGAUGGAGAGUAAUACUCUCUAUACUAUACUGGUGCUGAUGUUCACUAUACCAGGAGAGAAAGCCGGGGCUGCACUGUGUACACUGGAGUAUGCCGACCACACACACGAUGCCUGCCCAACCGGGUCAACAUAGUCUGAAGACAUCGCGCUGGCCAGUUCUCCACAAUGGAAGAAGAACCACGCCCUACUCCUGGAGACCCCAGUACACACAGCCUUAGUGACCAUUAAAAAGACCAGCAGUAUCGCUUAGUCUGAAGACACAGUAUGCUGUAAAUAUACUCCAGACUGAACCGUUGUUUAUGUCAAUGUAUGAAGUUUAUUUUACAUUUGUUUUUAUACUAAUUUAUGUCAGUCACUAUCUAGGCUAGUAAUUGUCAGAUACCUAUACAUGUACUGUAUAUAUUGUUGUUUUAAUCUAGUCUGACAACCCUGUUUGUAA